UGGCCAAUGAUGAUAUCUAUGAAACAAACCAUCUUUCGGGACUGAAUGGCUCUGAUGCCUUGAUGUUAUUCUGCAAUUCUGAGGCCG
Non-coding RNA from Cicer arietinum (chickpea), 87 nucleotides. NCBI's taxonomy places the organism in Eukaryota, Viridiplantae, Streptophyta, Magnoliopsida, Fabales, Fabaceae. The record is from Rfam.